This 643-nucleotide ribosomal RNA is filed under the name Bacillus sp. CSu4_16. RNAcentral's name for it is "bacterial SSU rRNA". It matches the Rfam family "Bacterial small subunit ribosomal RNA", at positions 57 to 683 of the family's 1533-position model. Lineage: Bacteria; Bacillati; Bacillota; Bacilli; Caryophanales; Bacillaceae. The record is from RNAcentral.
GCAGUCGAGCGGACCGACGGGAGCUUGCUCCCUUAGGUCAGCGGCGCACUGGUGAGUAACACGUGGGUAACCUGCCUGUAAGACUGGGAUCUCUCCGGGAAACCGGGGCUAAUACCGGAUGCUUGAUUGAACCGCAUGGUUCAAUCAUGAAAGGCGGCUUCGGCUGCCGUUUACAGAUGGACCCGCGGCGCAUUAGCUAGUUGGUGAGGUAACGGCUCACCAAGGCGACGAUGCGUAGCCGACCUGAGAGGGUGAUCGGCCACACUGGGACUGAGACACGGCCCAGACUCCUACGGGAGGCAGCAGUAGGGAAUCUUCCGCAAUGGACGAAAGUCUGACGGAGCAACGCCGCGUGAGUGAUGAAGGUUUUCGGAUCGUAAAGCUCUGUUGUUAGGGAAGAACAAGUACCGUUCGAAUAGGGCGGUACCUUGACGGUACCUAACCAGAAAGCCACGGCUAACUACGUGCCAGCAGCCGCGGUAAUACGUAGGUGGCAAGCGUUGUCCGGAAUUAUUGGGCGUAGAGCGCGCGCAGGCGGUUUCUUAAGUCUGAUGUGAAAGCCCCCGGCUCAACCGGGGAGGGUCAUUGGAAACUGGGGAACUUGAGUGCAGAAGAGGAGAGUGGAAUUCCACGUGUAGCGGUG